RNAcentral lists this ribosomal RNA (498 nucleotides) under uncultured bacterium. RNAcentral describes it as "partial 16S ribosomal RNA". It matches the Rfam family "Bacterial small subunit ribosomal RNA", at positions 30 to 523 of the family's 1533-position model. The record is from RNAcentral.
AUUGAACGCUGGCGGCAUGCCUUACACAUGCAAGUCGAACGGUAACAGGUCUUCGGAUGCUGACGAGUGGCGAACGGGUGAGUAAUACAUCGGAACGUGCCUAGUAGUGGGGGAUAACUACUCGAAAGAGUGGCUAAUACCGCAUGAGAUCUACGGAUGAAAGCAGGGGAUCGCAAGACCUUGUGCUACUAGAGCGGCCGAUGGCAGAGUAGGUAGUUGGUGGGAUAAAAGCUUACCAAGCCGACGAUCUGUAGCUGGUCUGAAAGGGCGAUCAGCCACACUGGGACUGAGACACGGCCCAGACUCCUACGGGAGGCAGCAGUGGGGAAUUUUGGACAAUGGGCGCAAGCCUGAUCCAGCAAUGCCGCGUGCAGGAUGAAGGCCUUCGGGUUGUAAACUGCUUUUGUACGGAACGAAAAGCCCCGGGUUAAUACCCUGGGGUCAUGACGGUACCGUAAGAAUAAGCACCGGCUAACUACGUGCCAGCCGCCGCAGUAA